Molecule: long non-coding RNA, 234 nt
Organism: Oreochromis niloticus (Nile tilapia)
Lineage: Eukaryota; Metazoa; Chordata; Actinopteri; Cichliformes; Cichlidae
Exons: 3
Source: RefSeq, a predicted model, not a curated record
CACACUCUGGCUGGAAUCCGGUGGAUACAGCAGUGUUACAGGUACAGUACGUGAUAUUAAGGGCAGGCGGUCAUCACUGGGGGAAGACAAGAAGCAGACGUACUUCCAAGAGGGAGCUGCAGUGAGGACAAAGCCAGGUCACUGAGGUCAGAGGAGGCACUGAAAGGUUUCCCUAAUAGUUCCUGGUGAAUCAAAGCAGGACCAUAAAGGUUGCUGGACUACAUGAUGGCCUUA